Molecule: ribosomal RNA, 436 nt
Filed under: uncultured bacterium
Lineage: Bacteria
Description: bacterial SSU rRNA
Rfam family: Bacterial small subunit ribosomal RNA
Source: RNAcentral
AGAGUUUGAUCCUGGCUCAGAGCGAACGCUGGCGGCGUGCUUAACACAUGCAAGUCGAGUGCGCAGUUCCCUGUAGCAAUACAGGGGAUGGGCGCACGGCGCACGGGUGCGUAACACGUGGGCAAUCUGCCCUCGGAUGGGGGAUAACCCCGCGAAAGCGGGGCUAAUACCGCAUGACAUUCCGAAGACUCCGGUCUUUGGACUCAAAGCCCGCAAGGGCGUCUGAGGAGGAGCCCGCGCCCGAUUAGCUAGUUGGUGAGGUAACGGCUCACCAAGGCUUUGAUCGGUAGCCGGUCUGAGAGGAUGGCCGGCCACACUGGAACUGAGACACGGUCCAGACUCCUACGGGAGGCAGCAGUGGGGAAUAUUGCGCAAUGGGCGAAAGCCUGACGCAGCGACGCCGCGUGGGGGAUGAAGCUUCUCGGAGUGUAAACCC